AUCUCGAAGGCGGUGAUACGAGGAAACUCUCAUCACCUUCAACCUCCCUGUUGGACUUGAGCCGGGCUUCGUGCCCGGCUUUUUUU
Molecule: non-coding RNA, 86 nt
Filed under: Paracoccus aminovorans
Lineage: Bacteria; Pseudomonadati; Pseudomonadota; Alphaproteobacteria; Rhodobacterales; Paracoccaceae
Description: Singlet oxygen resistance RNA X
Rfam family: Singlet oxygen resistance RNA X
About the family: SorX (RSs2461)like SorY is a singlet oxygen induced sRNA that counteracts oxidative stress by targeting mRNA for a transporter in Rhodobacter. It also has an impact on resistance against organic hydroperoxides. It targets SD sequence of potA mRNA via an aSD sequence.
Source: Rfam by way of RNAcentral